Molecule: long non-coding RNA, 552 nt
Organism: Neofelis nebulosa (Clouded leopard)
Lineage: Eukaryota; Metazoa; Chordata; Mammalia; Carnivora; Felidae
Exons: 4
Source: RefSeq, a predicted model, not a curated record
CUUUAAUAAGCAAAAUGCACUUUGGUUUGCAUUUUAAUGACAGUCCUGAUUUCGAUUAGGAAGACCUAGGAUUGAGCCCAGCUCUGCCACUUACUAGACUGUGAGGAAAGACUUAGCUAAAACAAGGACAUGAACUUUGUCCCAUGGAGUGACAGGCUGAUAUGACUAUGCCAGGCACCUGAGAAGGACAAGCAUUUAAGGGUCAGAGCCAGAGCCACAGCUGCCGCGAAGCCCUCCUAUCCCAAUCCAGCCUGUGGGGGUUUCCAGCCUGUGGGGGUUUCCUCCCCCAUAGUACAGAAUGGAACUUCCUGUACCCUCACUCAAAAACAUAGGAAGAGCACAGCAUAACGGUUAAGACUUCAGGCUGUUACUUAGGCUUCUGGAUUCAAGUUCAUCACUUACUGGGAGGUCCUUCUCCUUUCCAAGCAGAAUACCUCCCUGUGGGCCAGAGCCUGGGUAGAAAUCUUUGUGGGAUUGGCAAUGGCCAUCUAUGACUUAAAUGAUGGCCUUGAAGUCCAUGGUGGGCAAUGAGUUCCUCAGGACAAAGGUACG